This 410-nucleotide long non-coding RNA is filed under the name Zalophus californianus (California sea lion). RNAcentral describes it as "lncRNA (ENSZCAG00015024688.1)". The record is from RNAcentral. Lineage: Eukaryota; Metazoa; Chordata; Mammalia; Carnivora; Otariidae.
AUGAGUGCCCACAGUGAUAAAAUGUUCAUUGAGGGCAUUACUAAUGGCGGAUUUCCAACUGCCAAGGAAGAGGAUAUCUCAGAAACUGGUUUAAAGACAAUGUUUUAUGCUCGGCAAGGUCAAAAGAAAAACCGUUUUUACAAAUAUGUAUGGGAAAACUGUCAACUCACAAACCCAGCUAAGAAAAAGAAUGUGCAUUUACAGAAGUCAGAGAAGAACAACAGAUUUUAAGAAUUCCUAAUUUUGGGGAUGCCUGGGUGGCUCAGGCGAUUAAGUAUCUGCCUUCAGCUCAGGUCAUGAUCCCAGGGUCCUGGAAUCGAGCCCCAGAUCAGGCUCCCUGCUCUGCGAGGAGUCUACUUCUCCCUCUCCCUCUGCCUGCCACUUCCCCUGCUUGUGCUCUCUCUCUCUCU